AGAGUCAUCGAGGAUCCAGCUUGUUCUUGAAUCAUUGAAGUUUGCACUCUGCAAGUGAACGACGCCUUGUGGUGCCAUCCCAAAGAGGUUCAUAAUCACUCUCAAGGACCUUUUCCUGGACCGUGUCCAGCUGGUGGAAUGACCUCCCAAUCUCAAUCCGAACUGAGUCUUUACUCAUUUUCAAGAAACAUCUUAAGACUCAUCUUUUUCACCAGAACUUAACCAACUAAUGCUAGCACUUUUCCUUCUUUUCUUGUCUUUUAUAUAUAUAUAUAUAUAUAUAUAUAUAUA
This is a long non-coding RNA of Carassius gibelio (silver crucian carp), 291 nucleotides long. RefSeq lists it as uncharacterized. Lineage: Eukaryota; Metazoa; Chordata; Actinopteri; Cypriniformes; Cyprinidae. The transcript is spliced from 2 exons. The record is from RefSeq and is a predicted model, not a curated record.